This is a long non-coding RNA of Mus musculus (house mouse), 5494 nucleotides long. RefSeq annotates it as predicted gene, 46102. The record is from RefSeq and is a predicted model, not a curated record. The transcript is spliced from 3 exons. Lineage: Eukaryota; Metazoa; Chordata; Mammalia; Rodentia; Muridae.
UGACCCCAAGUGCUAUUCAAGAGCAGCUAAUGUUCUAUGCUAAACGUCUCCAGCCCCAGCACAUUCUGACAAAUCUGAACUUUUAACCUCUACCCCAAUAUUUGAUCUCUUAUCUACCCAAAGGGAUGGAAAAUCUAUGGAGACCAUGCAUACGGAUGUUUAUAACAGAUUUGUGCACAAUUUAUUCUAACAUAUUGAAGCAACCAGAUUAUCCUUCAGUGUGUGGACAGUCAAACCAAAUUAACCUAUACAAUGAAAAUUUUAUUUAGCACUAAAAAGAAAUGGACUCUCAAGACAUAAAAAGAUGAGGAAAAAUAAAUGCAUAACACAAAAGGGAAAGGCAAAAGGCAAGCUGGAGUCUGAUUAUUUGAAGUUAACUGCAGAAAAAGCUAUGAAGAUAGUAUCAAUAUCAGAACUUCAGGAGCUGUGAAGAGUAGAGCUCAGGAGGGUUUGAAGACACUAAUAUUAUCUGACACUGUGCAAAGCUGAAUACAUGUAGUGACAUGUUUGUGAAGACUCAUAUUGCACAUAACCAGGAGAGAUAAGAAGUGUAUGUUAUAGUCUUAGGUCAUUAUUGAUGAAGGUCCAUCAGUUCUGACAAAGUAGCACUCUAGCAGAGAUGUGUCUCAUGGCCUUGGGCACCUGAGCAGGUGGGAAAAAUACAGAAAUUUUAGUGUAUUUCAUUCUGGUUUACUAUGAAACUGGAAAGGCUCUUAAAAACAAUUCCAUCUUUAAAAGCAUUGUCAGUUAGAAAGUUUGAAGAUGAGAUUUAAAUGUUAAGUGGGAUUUAGCACAGAAUGUCUUUUGUUUUGUUUUAAAUUUUAAUUGGGAAUUUAGGUAUAAACGGGACAGGGGGAUAUUUUACUUUAAAAGUGUCAAAAUGUGCCAAAAUGUGCCAAAGUGCUAUAAUUUCUGAGUUUGUUUUUGUAAAAGUUUAUUCUCUGCACAUGUCUGUGCUUAUGUCAGUAUCCAAGGAGGCCAAGGGAUGGUGUUGGUACACUGGAAUUGGAGUUACAGGCCAUUACAAGCUGCCCAGUUUGGCUACUGUGAGCUGAAUAUGGAUUGUCAACAAACACAAGAUGGGAGACUUCACUUGAAAUCCUUAAAGGGAGACCUUGUGGAUUCUUCACUUCCUAUUAAUGACCUGCUGGUCCAUCUCACUAUCUGAUUUCCAUCCAGAAGUGAUGACAUAGUCCUGCCUUUGUUCCUGACACUGCCAUCUACUGUAACAAGACAAAGUUGAGAUCAUUCUCAUGAGAACUGACCCAAUGCCUGUGCUCUGCCCUGCAACCUCCUGAAGUGAGGCCAGAAAUCAACAGGAUUUAAUCACAGUUGGCAGCCUUCCCUUUGGCACAGAAGAGAACAUUCAUUGACAGCCAAUGUGGUGGUUCUCGGGAUUCAGCCAAGUUGCAGGUCUGCAGAGAAGGAGCCAAAUGCUGCUUGGCAUCAUAAGAGGGCAAUCUGUUGUCAUAAAGGACAAAGCACAAAUCUAAGCUCAAAAAAGUUGCCCUUUCCCCAUCACCAGACUGGCUGUAUUUUCUCAGAGGAAAAUGAAUAUCUGUCUUUGGAGGAGGGAUGUACUUUGCAGGGAUUCAAUCAGAAGAACCUGCUCUCAAGGGGGAGCAGGACCAGGUGAUAAUGAGACUGGCAUUCAUUCAUCCUGCUAGGAAGAAAGCCAGUCGCCUUCCCUUGCCAGCUUCUCUCUACUGCAGAAGUCAGCAAGCUGUGGCUCAGCUGGUCAAGACCAGCCCACCUACUCUAUUAUUUGUGUGACCCACAGGUAAAAAAAAUGGUUUUUAUAUUUUAAAUGUUACAAAAAGUGUUUUCUUGUAGAAUAAUAUUGUGGGGUUUAGAAAGAUGGCUCAGUAGAUAAACUGUAAACAUUAGAACUUGAGUUCAGAUAGACAGAUCCACAGAAAAGCUAGGCAGGUAUGGCAGUUGCUUCUAAGCUUAACACUCAGGAAGCACAGCAGGACAAGCUGGCUAGCUAGAAUGAUUGGAACUGGAGAGCUCCUAGCACAGUGAGAGACCCUGCCUGGAUACACAAGGUAGAAAAUAAUUGAGGAAGACAUCAACCUUGGGUCUCUUCCACAGGCAUAUGAACAGACAUGCUUCCUGUUGGACAGAAAAAGGAAAAAGAAGAGAUGAUGUAAUUAUACUGUAAUAUCAACAAAUAGAUAAUUGAAAAAAAGAAAGUUUCUCCCAUCAUAGUAUUUCAAAGGAAAAGACCCCUCCCUCACAAAAGGAGAUGAGGAGGAGGACCCGGCAUCAGUACCAGUGUUGAAUUCAUGGAUGAGCCAAGAUUGUCAGGACUCCCUCCCAUUCCAUUCCUGGAUCUUAUUCCUCCACGAAUAAGGGCAACCUGCUGAGUCUGGAUCAUGAUACUUGUGUGUAUAUUUCAGGGCUUACCAUUUGAUAUAUAACUGAUUGUUCUUCCCUAGAGAAGACUAUGGGGAGAAACUUUUUUCUUUUCCAAGGAGCAAUUUAUCUCAGGUCUUCCACGAUCCUCAUUUAUCUAAAAAUUUUCUAUAUCUAGAACUCACGGCCUCUGAGUCACUGAGAAAUUAUCCCUCAUUCUCAUGUGCUAGCCAAGGUCAGUGUCUAAUUAGGGUUUUACUGUAUGAGCAGACACUAUGAGCAAGGCAACUCUUAUAAUGGACAACAUUUAAUUGGGACUGAUUUAGAGGUUUGGUCCAGUAUCAUCAAGGCAGGAACAUGGCAGCAUCCAGACCUGCAUGGUGCAGGAGGAGCUGAGAGUUCUACAUCUUCAUAUGAAGACCACUAGGAGAAGACUGGCUUCCAGGCAACUUGGAUGAGGGUUUUAAAGCCCACCUCCAUAGUGACACACCUACUCCAACAAGGCCACCUUUCCAAAUAAUGCCACUCCCUGGGCCAAGCAUAUUCAAACCAUAGCAAUCAGCAUGCCUCACCUGCCCUUCCAUGCUCUCCAAUACUACUAGAUAAGCCAAAAGAGGCACAAGAUUUUCUCUUCUGAAAUGUUUCCCUCAAUCUGGAAUCUGUGUUUUGGGUUUCAGUUACUGUGACAAAGCAUCAUGUUCAAAAAGGCAAGUUGGGGAGAAAGAGGUUUAUUUUACCUUGCAAUCUUAUGUUACAGCCCAAUCACUGAGGGAAAUCAGGACAGGAGCUCAAGACAGUAACCUGGAAACAAGAACUAGAGCAAACGUCAUGGAGGAAUAUUGUUUAUUGUCUUGAUCCUUAUGGCUUGUGCUCUUAUAGCAAGGGUUACUGUGUCCAUGUGGGCUGGGCCUUCAUAUAACAGCCAUUAAUAAAAAAUGCCCCCAUAGACUUUUCCACAAGACAACCUACUUGGGCAUCUUCUUAGUUAAGGAUUCCUCUUCCCAAAUGUCUAUAGAUUGUGUCAAGUUGAUUCUACCCAAGGAGAGUUCCUUCUACCUUCUAGAAAACUCAUCUUUCAGAAACAAGUCCUGGUCUAGAUCCAGGAUCUUGCCCCCUGUUUUUUCCUCUGACCAAAAUGAACUCUUUCCUGAGUCAGAGAAUUAAGUCUGUCUUACUGUAUGGUAGAGAAGGAAUUAGAGCAGCCUAACUGAGUUUUCUGUGAAAUCUUAGACCAUGAAGACAGUGUGGAUGACUUCAGAGCUCUAAGUCUCAAAUCAAAUUGCAGGGUCCUUGUUACAGAUUGAAUAUUUUGCCUCCCUCUGCCCCAACCUCAUAUAUUGAACUGAAAGUACCAGUGUGAUGGCAUUAGAAGCCUAAGGGUCUCUGUAAGAGAGUGAUUAGGUUAGAAUGUGAUCAUGAAAAUAGAAGUCUCAGGAUGAGAUUAGAGAAGAGGAAAAGAUGUCUAGUGAUUGAUGGAUAGAUAAUAAAUAACAAAUACAUACAUAUUAUAUAUAUACAUAUAUAUAUAUGGUAUAUAGAUUUGCAUUACAUCUGUAUAUUAUAUGUGUAUAUAUACAUAUAUAUACAUAGACAUAUAUUCUCUACAUUAUAUCCACAUGGAAUUUAGAUACACACACAUACACAAACACAUUCAGACACAAACACAAACCAAGCAAAGGCCACAUAAAUACAAGUAAGACAAGAGCCUUCAGAAUCCAGAGAGACAGAGCUGUCACCAGGACCCAGUCAUCCUGGCACCUUGCUAUCAGAGUUUGCAUCUUCAAAUAUGUGAUCAAGUAAAUUUUAUUAUUUGAGAUACCUACUCUACUUUUUUUUUUAGCAAUUAAAGCAGAAUAAGACAAAAGUUGACACUAAUAUGUGGGUUAUGACAAAAACCUAUGAGUGGAAAUUGUAAGAAACUAACCUCUAUGUGAGUGGCUAAAUUUUGAGGUGCAUGUGUGAAAAGGAUGUUUGUCAUGAGGGAUAUUUUAGGAGAUUCAUGGAGAGCUGAAGAAAAUGUUCUGCCAUCUUAGACAAUGCAAACAUCAUCACAACCACAACAUUUUUAAAAACAGAGACAAUAAAGCCAGGUCCACGAGAAAAAUAACUACCUAAAAGCAUGUAUGUACCUGAGCCAAAAGAAGCCAAUAAUAUCUUAUGUCAUAGAUGUAUAUAUACUGUAUAUAAUGACAACCUCACAAAUAUUUCUUUGAGGAUCUGGGGAGGUGUUUUUUUGACUUAAGUGUUGCUUCACAUGUAUGAGGAUUUGGGCUCUACUCUCAACACCCAUAUUAAAAUAAUAAAAAUCCAGGCACUUAUAAGUCCAGCCCUGGAAAGCAGAGACAUGGAGACAGCUAACAACAUAGCCUGGAUGAACAACUGAUAUCCACAUUCAUGGAGAGAACGUUUGUCACAAAACAGUGAUUGAGAAAAAAAUCUCACAUCUACUCUAGCACCUGCCACAAGCCCCUCACACAAAUGACUUUGAGUUGCAAAAUAAAUGGUUCAUGAAUAAAACCAAAAAAAAAAUCUACAGUUUUUCCAAUGAAUUAUUUAUUGUUUUUAGUCCUUUAAUCAUAGCUGUUGAGUUAAUUUUCUUGAGGUUAUCAGAAAUCCAGUGUGUGAACUUUCUUUCUCUGUCCUCCUUAGGGCAGACUAACCUUGCUUCUGUCUAACUAUAGAGAAUAGUAACGAAUAACUAUUAUUAAUGGGCUUUUGAAAUUCUCAUUUGAAGCCACAAUGUAGGGGAAUAUUAUUUAUGAGUCUUCUUGUUAUCACUGAUGACCUCCAUCAGAACUUGAACUCAAUAAAAGAUUGGUCUCUUGUAGAUAACAGAGUUCUAUAGGAGAAGUCAAAUGAUUUAAAAUAACCCAAGCAAACUAGUUUCAGACAAAAUGGUCAUUUCACAUUGGCCUGCUCCUAUGAGUUCUGCAGGUUUAUGGGCACUGAAGCUGUAAUACAGUUUCUCUGUGUUUCCUCACCUUUCUGUUUGUACAACAUCUUCUAAUUAUGUACUGGUACAUAUUUUUCUUCAUUCAUUAUCAUCUUUAAAUUUAAUUGAAAAGUAAUAUCCUCAAAAUUUGUAAAUGGUCUUUUGCCAGUAUUUAUGAACAGUAAAGCAAUUUCUUGGCUCUCA